UAGCGAGAGUGGAUAUUUUUUAACACCAUGUCAACAAAAAAGACAAAUUGUUGAUGAGCGAUGUACGGUUGAAAUAAUGCCUGAUGAUAAAUUCUAUUCUAAUGCGAACAAUAAAUCACCUUUGUGUAUUGGUAUUAUGAUGUGUAAUUAUGAUGUGUAAUUCGAUUAAUCCAAAUCAGAUUAGAAACUAGUGUAGGAAGAUCUUGUGUAGUGUUUUAAGGAGCCAAUAAGAAGAUCAUGUAGUGAGAAGACUUCACCCCGGAAGCUUAAACAAGUUGAAGGCUCUUUUGUAUGGCAAUACAAAUUACGAAAUUACAACGAGUGAAACGUGUUAGCAUCUUUGAUACACAGCUGCUAUUUGGACCAGCGAUCAUGCAGUUUUGAAGGCUACACGUGGAAAUGGAUACCCUCGAUACGAGAUUUCAACGUGCCAUAAUGCGAUUUGGAGCUGGCUGAUAACUAUUCGACUAAAACUAUAUAAGGAAUAGACAAACGAAUGAAAUAUCA
Long non-coding RNA from Topomyia yanbarensis, 507 nucleotides. RefSeq lists it as uncharacterized. NCBI's taxonomy places the organism in Eukaryota, Metazoa, Arthropoda, Insecta, Diptera, Culicidae. The transcript has 2 exons. The record is from RefSeq and is a predicted model, not a curated record.